AUGUCGGAGCAAUGUUAGUAACUGUAGUAUGAUUACUGAAUUAUAAAAGUAGCGCGUUACACUACUCCGUUACCGACAAGAGUAAUAUUAUUACAGUAACGCGUUACACCCAACUCUCAACAUAAGUAUGAUUGAAACGCCAUUACCCUCUCAACAACAAAUACAUUAUUAUUAUUAACAGACAGAACAGACGUGACUAGGAACUCUCAAGUAAACACGUGUUUAGUUUAAAUAAAGCCUCUCAUUUUUGGUAUAGAGCUUUGAAAUAGGGCUUUGAAUUUGAAACAUUAAGGCUUCUACACAAUUUCUGAACACACAUGGCAGCAGUUAAUGCAGAAAAAAAAGAAAGGCACAGUAAAGCUGAGAGUCAUUCACAUCCCUAGAAUGCGUGGGGGGCGGGGUUCAUAACCCUUUAGGAAACGCCCCCUAUAGGAUCCGCCCCCUUUAGGAUCCGCCUCCUUGCUGCGGUCUGCAUCCAGACCCAUCUCCCCGUCGCCGCCCCCACCCCCCGAAGGCCGGAUUAACCAUAUGGGCAACCUGGGCAAGUACCCAGGGGCCCUUGAACAAAGAGGGCCCUCAGUGAGAAGAUGAAAAAAAAUUAUUUUUUAUUAUUUUAUUAUUAUUAUUCUUUUCUUUCCGGGUACAACCUCACUCAUCAUACAUUGUUUUAAAUGACACUCACUCUUCGCUAUAAAUAACACAGCUUUUCUAUAGGGUCAAAUUAAUAUAUUUUCUAAACCGUCUCUGUACUGUAGGUCUCACUAUGUAUGCGCUCAACUUUAUUACUACGCAGUGGUGGUGUAUAGCCGAAUCACAGCCCCACCCUCACUCAUGUCACAUUUUGUCACAUGAGCAGAAAAAAUGGAGGGUGCCGGUAGCCAAACGCCCAGCGGGGCUGCGAAAAGAAAGUAAAAGAAGAGUGAGUGGCGGCUUUAUUAAAAAAUGUGCCAACAAUAAAUAGCUUUUUCAAAAAAGCAAAAAGUGACGAAAUAGGCCAGCAACAACCACAAGGAACAGUGGCGGCGGUCACGGAGGAUGUUGUUGAGCUAGCGAACAAUGUUAGCCUUGAACCUAGCAUGCUAACGCAGCAGCGGGUAGAAGAGGAGGAAAAAGAUGAAGACGAGCCUGACGAGGACGUCACAGAGCAGGGUGAAGGUUCGAGUUCAUCUGAAGUGUGUCUCUCAGGACCCUGCACAAUGUGGAUUAAUUGCUGGAAAGAUCCGGGAGGAGACUUUGAUGAAAGGGGUUUCAUACUUUCAUAAUCGGGCAACGAAGUAUCCAGCAUCUCGGAGGGAGACCGAUGCUAGCGGCCGGACACGCUCACUGACCAACGAUAUGCUGACCAGACAGCUUCACAAUGGAGAAAUCGUUCAACGCGAUUGGAUUAUUUAUUCUCCAUUACCGGAGCAAUUUAUUGUUUUGCCUGCAAACUUUUAUCCACUCACAGCCACAGCAAUGCAUUUGUUCUCGGCUUUAGUGAUUGGAAGCAUCCCGAGAGGAUAACGGAACAUGAGACGAGUGGUGAGCACAGAAAAUGCAUACUUUCACAUGGGCACUGUGGAUGCUUCUCUAGGGAUGCAGGUCGACACAGAAAGUCAGUAGCCUACUGGAAGGAUGUAUUGAGACGUGUAGUUGCGGUGAUUACAUUCUUGAGUGAGAGGGGGCUUCCUUUCCGGGGAAAUUACGAACUUUUAGGAUCCUCACAUAACGGGAACUACCUGGGAAUCCUGGAGCUGCUCGCGCCAUUUUUAAAGGAUCAUUUUCAGAAGUUUGGCCAGAAGGGACGUGGUAGGACUUCAUACUUGUCAUCAAUCUGUGAGAAGUUUAUUGGUUUGACGGGUGACAGAACAAAGGAAGCAAUAGCAACAGAACUACAGCGAGCAAGGUAUUUCUCUGUCAUCGUAGAUUCUACACCUGACAUGUCUCACGUCGACCAAUUAACUUUCGUUUUCCGAUUUGUGAGUGAGAAAGGAAAAGUUAUUGAGAGAUUUAUUGGAUUUGAACCCAUUCACAGUCACACUGGGUCAAGUCUGGCUGACUGUGUGAUGAAGAUGUUCAUUGAUAUGGGGCUGGAUCUCUCAAACUGCCGUGGCCAGGCUUAUGACAAGCAUCCAACAUGUCAGGAAAAUAUAAUGGGCUGCAAGUUCAUCUCAAGAAAAGCAACCCACUCAUACAUUACAUUCCGUGCGCAGCACAUUCCUUGAAUUUGGUUGGUGUCAACUGUGUUGAAAAUAGUUGCCGUGAAGCAAGCCAGUUUUUUGAUAUACUUCAAGCACUUUUUGCUUUUUGCUCUGCUUCUACCCACCGAUGGAAUAAAGUGUUCACUGAAAACGUCACGCUGACACUAAAAUCUCUCUCCUGAACAAGAUGGAGCUGCAGAGGAGACUCCACGAGAGCUCUUUGUGAGAAUUACACUGCAAUAUGAGGGGCUUCACAAAUGUUGGCGGCUGAUGACGAAGAGCGUCAGGACACACGGCGAGAGGCCUCUGCGCUGUGUGGCAAACUUGAGAAACUAGAGACUGCUCUGCUGACAAUAUUUUGGAACACUGUACUGCACCAAUUCAAGCUUACGAGCACUGGCUUGCAAAAGAAAGACAUUGACCUAAUGACCGCUGUGCAACUUUUGGAAUCGCUGCACACUUAUGUUGCAUCACUACGAGGGACAUUUUCAGACUUUGAGACAUCUGCCCGGGCCGUCGCGGCGUGACACAGACAUACCAGCACGAGACUCACCAUGUUGGUAAAAGACGAGUAUUUGAUGACGAGACAGUGGAGCACGAGGUGGUACUGACUGGCAGUACAAAAUUCAAGGUUGAGACAUUCAAUGUAAUUAUUGACAGGUUGCUCUCAGGACUUAGCAAACGCCUGGAUGCAUACAAAGACAUACAUGAUGACUUUGGAGUCCUAUUUGACAUGUGCUGUGAUGACACUGAUCUCCGCAGACGGGCCAAUAUUCUCUCCUCAUCAUAUCCUACUGACUUGGAUAAGUCAUUAGGAGAUGAGCUGAUCCAGUUUAGAGCUUUUGUCAGCACAGAGCCAGAUAAGGUGCUUAAACAUGGACUACAGACAACAUUCCCCAAUGUUUUUGUUGCGCUCAGGAUUUUUCUCACACUGCCUGUAACCAACAGCUUAAACGUAUCAAAAAUGAACUUAGGACAACCAUGGCUCAGAAGAGACUUUCAGCUCUUUCUUUGAUGGCCAUCGAGUCUGAUCUUGUGAGGGAUCUGGAUUUUGAUGACCUGAUCACAGACUUUUCAAAGAGAAAGGCAAGGAAGAAACACUUCUAAAAGGCUUUGCAUUUGAACUCCUAUGACUGGUUAUGGACUUGAAGGGAACGACUUCCUGGCCUUCCUGACAUCCAGGAAAAUGUAGAAAUCUACUGGAACCUAACACCAGAGAGAGAGAGAGAGGGAGGAGAUGAUAUGCAGCAAAAGGCCGAGCCGGAUGGUUGCUGCUCCGUGUGGAACGUGUUCUAUCAGAAAGGAUCAUGCCAGCCCACAUCAAACACCUGAUCAAGAACUUGUGAAUCUUCAGGCAGAAAAGAUGAAAACACCUGUUCAAAGUUCCAGUUUCCUGUACAUGGAACCAUGCCUGUCCUCUGUUCCACAUGUCUUCAGUCAGUCCUGGGGCCUGUACUACGAAGCAGGAUUUUUGCUUAGCCGGCUAACUUCUGGGAAAACUCCGGCGUUCCGGUCCUACAACGCUGGUUCUCUUUUUAGCGGGCUAGCUCUCCAUGGCAACUUAUGCUGAGCGGCUAACCUGCCCCGGAGCAGGUUAGGUUGCAGGCUAAGAGCUCA
Long non-coding RNA from Gymnodraco acuticeps, 3797 nucleotides. RefSeq lists it as uncharacterized. The record is from RefSeq and is a predicted model, not a curated record. NCBI's taxonomy places the organism in Eukaryota, Metazoa, Chordata, Actinopteri, Perciformes, Bathydraconidae. The transcript is spliced from 4 exons.